GGGGUUGUGGCUCAGCGGUAGAGCGCUCGCCUCACACGUGUGAGGCCCUGGGUUCAACUCUCAGCACCACA
Molecule: transfer RNA, 71 nt
Filed under: Marmota monax (woodchuck)
Lineage: Eukaryota; Metazoa; Chordata; Mammalia; Rodentia; Sciuridae
Description: tRNA.Val
Rfam family: tRNA
About the family: Transfer RNA (tRNA) molecules are approximately 80 nucleotides in length. Their secondary structure includes four short double-helical elements and three loops (D, anti-codon, and T loops). Further hydrogen bonds mediate the characteristic L-shaped molecular structure. tRNAs have two regions of fundamental functional importance: the anti-codon, which is responsible for specific mRNA codon recognition, and the 3' end, to which the tRNAs corresponding amino acid is attached (by aminoacyl-tRNA synthetases). tRNAs cope with the degeneracy of the genetic code in two manners: having more than one tRNA (with a specific anti-codon) for a particular amino acid; and 'wobble' base-pairing, i.e. permitting non-standard base-pairing at the 3rd anti-codon position.
Source: RNAcentral